CAGUGACCAGUGCCUCCUGGCCAGCUCCUCCCAGUUUGUAUAUUGGGAAUGGGGAUUGGAAUGUCCCUUUGGCCAGCUCAGGUCAGGUGUCCUGGUCAUGCUCCCCCCAGCUCCCUCUGCACUUCCUCAAGGCAGGGCAUGGGAAACAGAAGGCCUUGACUCAGGAGAACACUAAACAUCUCAGGUUGGGCUCAGUAGGCCCAUUCCUGCCAUCUGACAUCUUACAAAAAUCUAGGCCAAGAAAUAUAUCCUUUCUGGAAAAGAAAAACAUCACAGACUGUCUACUUGGGUAAAGAAUUUGGAGAAACUAGGUUUUCAGGAAUAGUAAACUGAGCAUCUGUUGGACUUCAUUAAAUUCUUAUUUAACUUGAGUUGAGAUCAGUGAAAUUAACCUUUAUACCUCAACUGUGCUCUUCCUGCUUGAAGCAGCUGAAUCAAAGCAGCUUACGAAGGGCAUCCUUCUGCUUUGUAACUUCAAAGAACAUUUAUUCAGAGGUAGCAUGUGAAGAUCACAGAACUGGAGCCAGAUGAUAGAGAAAUCACUGCAAACUGAGGCAGGCAGGAAAAAUACCUAAUUUAAAGAUAGACUAGAGAUCUGAAACAAAGGUUCAUAAAGACUGGUGUGUUACAAAGCAGAGGUAACAAUUUGCCAGACAGGCAGACACAGUGCAAGGGGAAUGGAAGAGUCUUUCUAACCACUGCUGCUUAGUGUUCCCUGAACCACAAACUAUAAAAAGAAAAGGAGCUCAGAAGAUUAUUUGCAACCAUGCAGUUUUCUCUACUGGCCUGUGCAGGCUCUUCAGGACAUGGACAGUAAUUUCUGUGCACCUACAGCAGCCAAGGUUGUGAUCUUGACUGGGGCAUUCAUGCCCUACUGUCAAAUCAAAAAUGGGAAGAGAUAAACAGUGGUAAUUAAAGGGCAACAAAGAACAACAUUCAAUUAAACUCCAACAUUUACUGGUAUCCAGAACAGUUACCAGGUUCCAGCCAUCCAUAAGGUUGCAAUCAAACCCUAAACUAGAAACCCCAGAGAUCUACAGCCCUCUAGUUACAAACUUAUAUUAGAACCAUUAAAAUAAUUAGAAGGGAUAGAACUGAUAAUUUCACUGGAUUUUGUCCAACUGACCACGAGUGUAUCCAAGUCUGGGAUAUGCACUGAGACCUCCCUCUAUCACUAACCUGGUACACUCAAGCACUACAGGCUCCUGACAUCUCUCAGCUUUGGAGAUGUCAAGGAAACAGAAAUACUCCUGUGAUGUGUCACCCAGCCAUAAGAGCCCCUCAGUUCUACCAUGGACAUUCCAAAGAGCAGAAGGUAUUGUGAGAUGAGGCCUUGCAACACUCAGAGCAUUUAUUUCUAGCUCCAGAGUGGGAGAAGGCAGGAGAAGAUAGGAUCUUGUAUCUCUUUCUCUGCAGCAAAUUGUUGCACCUCACUGAAUAUCAAAAGGCAGUUUAGUUCUGCCAUUGACAGUAAAUGAAAAAAAUUGCUGUGGAGUGACAGUGGUCAUGCAGCUCUGUGCAACUUUAAUGGAACUAAUAACUUAGUUCCCUUGUAAAAUACCAAGCCUUGUUUGUGCAAGGAUUACUGUAGUAACAUCCCUUAGGAGCAAAACAAUUCCUUGUACAUGGGCUGGUGCACAAUCUCUUUCCCACAGCACACUUCCACCAGCUUCCAAUAAAAAAUCAGAAGCAAA
Long non-coding RNA from Passer domesticus (house sparrow), 1694 nucleotides. RefSeq lists it as uncharacterized. The record is from RefSeq and is a predicted model, not a curated record. NCBI's taxonomy places the organism in Eukaryota, Metazoa, Chordata, Aves, Passeriformes, Passeridae. The transcript has 2 exons.